CCCUUCCAUUAGGUCAGCUAAAGGUCGUCACUAAAGGAUUUUCCUUAUAUCUUAUCGCGUACUUUCUUUGCUUAUUAUUAUAUUAUACAAGUUAUUCAUAUACUCAGCCGGUCUCGUGCAUUUCUUGUUACUAACUACACUAUUCAGUAUUGUUUAGAUGACAUUAUUUUAUAUGUUGUUUCUCCCCUCUGUUAAGAUAACACUAUUUCUGACACUGCGUACAAAUGGGCCUUAUUGGUUAAACGCAACUACAGCAUCAUAAGAGUUCUGGUUAUCACCUGGCCAAAUCUUCUUAAAUAAUUUUCUGCGUAUACGGUUAGUAUAUACCUUUUUGUUUGGAGGGGCAAUUUUCUACGGUUUCUCCCAGGGAUUAGGUUGUAACUUAAAUUUGUGUUUUAGGUUCAAGUAAGUAUUGUUCUUUCCACUUCAGUAUUUGUCAUGCAAGUCAAUCAUCAGGUACGUUAACCGGUCAAACCCAGGCAUGGUUAUGAGUAGGUUUAAGCUCUUGCCAAGUUAGGUAUGAUCCCAUAGGCCUCUUCGCCUAUUAGUCAAGUGGUCCCGCAAGGCAUUCUAUGGCCCUUCCAUUCAGAAGUUCAUGCCCAAUCGUCCCAAUGCAUAGUUAGAGCCUUGCAUCAAGUCAUAGUUAGAGCCUCACCAGUCACGGCCAAUCGAUAUUACAUUCUUUUACGUGUCACCGAGAGGCCAACACCCUGCCAUCCACCUCAGUGACACAAAGGCCCCACGAGCCAAAUCAUAGAUACUGCCUCUCAUAGCCACUUGGCAAGUAGUCAGGGCUUCACCUGUCACCAACAUAAGCUAGUUAAUACAAUUUCGCCAGUAGGCACUAGCCUAGUAAGCUGGGUCACUACUGUUCUAUAUGGUACCAUACUAACCUUGUCCAUCUGCCUCACUUCCGUAGCAUGUCUAACGCUUCUACACAAGGAGAUGAUCUGUCGGUUGCCAGCACCCCAUUCAGAUCAGGCUCGCAGAGACGACCCAAUCCACCAAGUCCAGCUUCCAGCUAUCGUUCCUGGACUAUCCCUAAAAUCACCUCAGAAUUUAAAAAGAGGAAUAUUCCUUUCCCGGCUACAGCCAAGAAAGCCAAACUGUUUAGGUUAUUAAAUAUUACUGAAGACAAUGAAAAGCCUGG
This is a non-coding RNA of Pelobates cultripes (western spadefoot toad), 1150 nucleotides long. Lineage: Eukaryota; Metazoa; Chordata; Amphibia; Anura; Pelobatidae. The record is from the annotation of a GenBank genome assembly.